AUUGAACGCUGGCGGUAUGCCUUACACAUGCAAGUCGAACGGUAACAGGUUAAGCUGACGAGUGGCGAAAGGGUGAGUAAUGUAUCGGAACGUGCCCAGGAGUGGGGGAUAAUUGCUCGAAAGAGCAGCUAAUACCGCAUACGACCUGAGGGUGAAAGCGGGGGAUCGCAAGAGCUGGAGCGAUUGGAGCGGCCGAGAUCAGAUUAGGUAGUUGGUGGGGUAAAGGCCUACCAAGCCGACGAUCUGUAGCUGGUCUGAGAGGACGACCAGCCACACUGGGACUGAGACACGGCCCAGACUCCUACGGGAGGCAGCAGUGGGGAAUUUUGGACAAUGGACGCAAGUCUGAUCCAGCCAUGCCGCGUGCGGGAAGAAGGCCUUCGGGUUGUAAACCGCUUUUGUCAGGGAAGAAACGCUCUGGGUUAAUACCUCGGGGUAAUGACGGUACCUGAAGAAUAAGCACCGGCUAACUACGUGCCAGCCGCCGCCGUAA
RNAcentral lists this ribosomal RNA (493 nucleotides) under uncultured bacterium. RNAcentral describes it as "partial 16S ribosomal RNA". It matches the Rfam family "Bacterial small subunit ribosomal RNA", at positions 29 to 523 of the family's 1533-position model. The record is from RNAcentral.